Non-coding RNA from Salvelinus sp. IW2-2015, 1169 nucleotides. The record is from RefSeq and is a predicted model, not a curated record. NCBI's taxonomy places the organism in Eukaryota, Metazoa, Chordata, Actinopteri, Salmoniformes, Salmonidae.
GAGAGAGAGAGGCAACAUCAUUGAAAGAGAAGAUAGUCCGAGUGAGUGUUUGAGAGAGAAUAACUGAAAACAUUUUGGCUGAAAGGGGAGGGACUGCCUAGUCCUUUUUCAAACAAGUUUGUGGAGAAACUUGGAGAAGCUCUUUGGCUGCUUGGAAAGAAGAGGCAAGGUGCUAUGCUAAGUGAGAGAGCAGCUUGGAGGCAGGGGUAGGGGUGUAAAACCGAAGGAGAAAGGGGAUAAAGGACAUUUUGAUCUAAAGGAAAUCAUGCGAAUGAAUGCUGCCUCAUCCAGUGUCAGAUUUCACAAAAUGAGAAACCAGUGCAAGAGCACUUCUACAGGGCUCAUCCAGCUGAGAAAGGAUGCCAGCUGCUAGCACAAUGACUGGUGGGAGGGCCCUGCUGCUCUGUACCAACACUGACAACUGUAUCUACCAAUCAGUCAACGGGCUCCAGUGCUGCGGCUUGAAGGUUGAGGCUCAGUUUGUGGUCCCCCAGCGGCCAGACGUGGUGUACGGGAACGGGACACCUCCAAGCGGCCCCUCUCUCCCUGGUUUCCUCUCUGGACGGGCCAGGCACCAUUGACACAAUGCUCGCUCACAAAAAACCACCUCGGACCCCGUACCACCAUGGAGAAUGGACUGGCGGCUGUAGCAAACUCAAUAAGACCCCGGCGGGUCUGAAGACCAGCGCCAGCAUCCGGACAAGAUCUCCCAAUGGGAGGGAAAGAAGGAGACCGCCCCUACCUCCUCUACCUCCCUGUAGUUGGAAGUGGUCCAUGCCCGCUGAACACAGCACAGAAGGAACCAGAGACUGUGCGAAAGAAAGGAGACCACCAAUACCUCAGAGGUCCACAGGUCCGACAGUAAGUGGUUGGCCAGCUGGGAUAGGCAGGACUCUGGGAAGGAGAAUCAGGAAAGCUGGGGGAUUACGGCCUAAGUCUCCUGAGGGCCUCACUACCGGGACAGAGAGGUGAUACUGGAUAGAGGACCCUCAGAGGCAGUAGUAAAUCCACUGAGACAGCCAAGGACAAGAAGUCUGUUUUGACUCACAUUAAGAAACUGGAGCAGGCCAUGAAAGAGGGUUCCACCAAGCCCUCCUUGGUGUUGCCUGGGAACUAUUUCUGCCCACCUUCCCAGGAGGAGCAGGAGGGGGCGGAGAGGAAGGGAACGA